RNAcentral lists this long non-coding RNA (208 nucleotides) under Gossypium raimondii (Peruvian cotton). Its description in RNAcentral is "long non-coding RNA (GRAI_LNC006537)". The record is from RNAcentral. Lineage: Eukaryota; Viridiplantae; Streptophyta; Magnoliopsida; Malvales; Malvaceae.
UCGGAAUUGUGUUUCGGAUGUUAAUAUGGGCUUGCCAAAACUAAACUGCUCUUUUUAUUUGGUCCUUGUUGAAAAUAAAUAAAUGACACUUAUGCAUUUCCCUGAUAGCUAGUGCAUAAGUUAAUUUUGAUGGUAGUUUGGCUUCAACAACCAAUGUUUCUGUUAUGAUUAAGUUGGUAAAAGACCUGUCAAACUUGUGUAUCACAAC